UCAAAGGAAAUUAGGGGAGGGGCAAGGUCUUAGCCACAACCAAUGAGCAUUCAUUUUGCCCUUACCUGACCUGGAAGAACCUUCAAUCUCUAAGCAUAUGGAGAAUGACUGCCAAGAAGAUCUACAAACACAUCUGAUAUCACCUAAUAGCUGAUGACCUCCACCAACAACUGGUGCCAGAAGCAGAAAGGGAACAGCUGGGAGGCAACAUGAGGACAUUUGUGAUUGCAUGGGACAAUGUAGCAUUCCACAAGUACUCCCCUUUCCUACCCCCUACUCCCCUUUCCUCCCCCCUACUUACCUUUCCUUAACCCCAUUGAGGAAUGUUUUUCUGUCUGGAGGUGGAAAGUGUAUGAUCAUUGGUCACAUGACCAAAUGUCCCUCCUGGAUGCAACAGAUGCCAGCUGCAGAGACAUCUCAGCUGAAGACUGCCAGGGGUGGAUAAGGCAGGCCAAGCGUUUCUAUCCAAGGCGCAUGGCGAGAGACGACAUAAGAUGUGACGUGGACGAGAAUAUGUGGCCAAAUGCUGAAGAUGGAAUAGAUUAGAACAGGACGGGCAUUUUAGUGUUUGAUCCCUUCUGUGCCUUUUUUACUGUAAUUGUUUUAUUUUUACACAUUUGGAACCAAAGGCCAUGUAAGUUGGAUGUGUUGUUGAACCAAAGGCCAUGUAUGUUGGAUGUGUUGUUGAACCAAAGGCCAUGCAUGUUGGGUGUGUUGUUGAACCAAAGGCCAUGUAUGUUGGAUGUGUUGUUGAACCAAAGGCCAUGCAUGUUAGGUGUGUUGUUGAACCAAAGGCCAUGUAUGUUGGAUGUGUUGUUGAACCAAAGGCCAUGUAUGUUGGAUGUGUUGUUGAACCAAAGGCCAUGUAUGUUGGAGGUUUUGUUGAUCACUGGCAGCAAUUUCUUGUUGCUAAUAAAGCUUUUACUGCAGCAA
Molecule: long non-coding RNA, 933 nt
Organism: Oncorhynchus mykiss (rainbow trout)
Lineage: Eukaryota; Metazoa; Chordata; Actinopteri; Salmoniformes; Salmonidae
Source: RefSeq, a predicted model, not a curated record